UAUUGGGCGUAAAGCGUCCUCAGGUGGCCCUGUAAGUCUGUCGUUAAAGCGUGGAGCUUAACUCCAUUUCAGCGAUGGAAACUACAGGGCUAGAGCGUGGUAGGGGCAGAGGGAAUUCCCGGUGUAGCGGUGAAAUGCGUAGAUAUCGGGAAGAACACCAGUGGCGAAGGCGCUCUGCUGGGCCAUCACUGACACUCAUGGACGAAAGCCAGGGGAGCGAAAGGGAUUAGAUACCCCUGUAGUCCUGGCCGUAAACGAUGAACACUAGGUGUCGGGGGAAUCGACCCCCUCGGUGUCGUAGCCAACGCGUUAAGUGUUCCGCCUGGGGAGUACGCACGCAAGUGUGAAACUCAAAGGAAUUGACGGGGGCCCGCACAAGCGGUGGAGUAUGUGGUU
RNAcentral lists this ribosomal RNA (396 nucleotides) under uncultured Microcystis sp. RNAcentral describes it as "bacterial SSU rRNA". It matches the Rfam family "Bacterial small subunit ribosomal RNA", at positions 552 to 946 of the family's 1533-position model. The record is from RNAcentral. Lineage: Bacteria; Bacillati; Cyanobacteriota; Cyanophyceae; Chroococcales; Microcystaceae.